AUUGAACGCUGGCGGCAGGCUUAACACAUGCAAGUCGAGCGGUAGCACAAGAGAGCUUGCCCUCUGGGUGACGAGCGGCGGGCGGGUGAGUAAUGUCCGGGAAACUGCCUGAUGGAGGGGGAUAACUACUGGAAACGGUAGCUAAUACCGCAUAACGUCGCAAGACCAAAGAGGGGGACCUUCGGGCCUCUUGCCCUCAGAUGUGCCCAGAUGGGAUUAGCUAGUAGGUGGGGUAAUGGCUCACCUAGGCGACGAUCCCUAUCUGGUCUGAGAGGAUGACCAGCCACACUGGAACUGAGACACGGUCCAGACUCCUACGGGAGGCAGCAGUGGGGAAUAUUGCACAAUGGGCGAAAGCCUGAUGCAGCCAUGCCGCGUGUGUGAAGAAGGCCUUCGGGUUGUAAAGCACUUUCGGCGAGGAGGAAGGUGGUGAACUUAAUACGUUCAUCAAUUGACGUUACUCACAGAAGAAGCACCGGCUAACUCCGUG
This 490-nucleotide ribosomal RNA is filed under the name uncultured bacterium. Its description in RNAcentral is "partial 16S ribosomal RNA". It matches the Rfam family "Bacterial small subunit ribosomal RNA", at positions 30 to 507 of the family's 1533-position model. The record is from RNAcentral.